Gorilla gorilla gorilla (western lowland gorilla) is the source of this 103-nucleotide small nuclear RNA. The record is from Ensembl. NCBI's taxonomy places the organism in Eukaryota, Metazoa, Chordata, Mammalia, Primates, Hominidae.
CUGCUCGCUUCAGCAGCACGUAUCUAAAAUUAGAAUACAGAAAAGAUUAGCAUGGCCCCUGUGCAAAGAUGACAUGCAAAUUCGUGAAAUAUUCCCUAUUUUU